RNAcentral lists this ribosomal RNA (497 nucleotides) under uncultured bacterium. RNAcentral describes it as "partial 16S ribosomal RNA". It matches the Rfam family "Bacterial small subunit ribosomal RNA", at positions 28 to 507 of the family's 1533-position model. The record is from RNAcentral.
GAUGAACGCUGGCGGCGUGCCUAAUACAUGCGAGUCGAGCGAACGGACGAGAAGCUUGCUUCUCUGAUGUUAGCGGCGGACGGGUGAGUAACACGUGGAUAACCUACCUAUAAGACUGGGAUAACUUCGGGAAACCGGAGCUAAUACCGGAUAAUAUUUUGAACCGCAUGGUUCAAAAGUGAAAGACGGUCUUGCUGUCACUUAUAGAUGGAUCCGCGCUGCAUUAGCUAGUUGGUAAGGUAACGGCUUACCAAGGCAACGAUGCAUAGCCGACCUGAGAGGGUGAUCGGCCACACUGGAACUGAGACACGGUCCAGACUCCUACGGGAGGCAGCAGUAGGGAAUCUUCCGCAAUGGGCGAAAGCCUGACGGAGCAACGCCGCGUGAGUGAUGAAGGUCUUCGGAGCGUAAAACUCUGUUAUUAGGGAAGAACAUAUGUGUAAGUAACUGUGCACAUCUUGACGGUACCUAAUCAGAAAGCCACGGCUAACUACGUG